UUUUGACCGUGCAAAGGUAGCGCAAUCACUUGUCUCUUAAAUAGAGACCUGUAUGAAUGGCUAGACGAGGGCUUAACUGUCUCCCCCCUCCGGUCAGUGAAAUUGAUCUAUCCGUGCAGAAGCGGGUGUGAAUACACAAGACGAGAAGACCCUUUGGAGCUUAAGGUACAAACUUAACCACGUUAAACGACUUCACAAAGAGCAAGAACUUAGUGGCAAUAAGACUUUACCUUCGGUUGGGGCGACCAUGGAGGAGAAACAAGCCUCCAAGUGGGCCGGGCCAAACCCCCUUCCCUAAAGCCAAGAGGUACACCUCUAAGCCUCAGAACAUCUGACCAAAAAUGAUCCGACUAUAAAGUCGACCAACGAACCAAGUUACCCAAGGGAUAACAGCGCAAUCCCCUCCCAGAAUUCCAUAUCUACGAAGGG
Molecule: ribosomal RNA, 429 nt
Filed under: Phoxinus phoxinus (Eurasian minnow)
Lineage: Eukaryota; Metazoa; Chordata; Actinopteri; Cypriniformes; Leuciscidae
Description: partial 16S ribosomal RNA
Rfam family: Bacterial large subunit ribosomal RNA
Source: RNAcentral